This 265-nucleotide ribosomal RNA is filed under the name uncultured archaeon. RNAcentral describes it as "partial 16S ribosomal RNA". It matches the Rfam family "Archaeal small subunit ribosomal RNA", at positions 719 to 982 of the family's 1478-position model. The record is from RNAcentral.
ACACGACUACAUUAGAUACCCGUGUAGUCCAGGGUGUAAACGCUGCGGGCUUGGUGUUGGGGUCCUUUGAGGGCGCCCAGUGCCGGAGAGAAGUUGUUAGGCCUGCUGCGUUGGGGAGUACGUCCGCAAGGAUGAAACUUAAAGGAAUUGGCGGGGGAGCACCGCAACGGGAGGAGCGUGCGGUUCAAUUGGAUUCAACGCCGGAAAUCUUACCGGGACCGACAGCAACAUGAAGGCCAAGCUGAAGACUUUGCCGGAUUAGCUG